Molecule: ribosomal RNA, 501 nt
Filed under: uncultured bacterium
Lineage: Bacteria
Description: partial 16S ribosomal RNA
Rfam family: Bacterial small subunit ribosomal RNA
Source: RNAcentral
AUUGAACGCUGGCGGCAUGCCUUACACAUGCAAGUCGAACGGCAGCACGGGUGCUUGCACCUGGUGGCGAGUGGCGAACGGGUGAGUAAUACAUCGGAACGUACCUUAUCGUGGGGGAUAACGCAGCGAAAGCUGUGCUAAUACCGCAUACGCCCUGAGGGGGAAAGCGGGGGAUCGAAAGACCUCGCGCGAUUAGAGCGGCCGAUGCCUGAUUAGCUUGUUGGUGGGGUAAAAGCCCACCAAGGCGACGAUCAGUAGCUGGUCUGAGAGGACGCUCAGCCAAACUGGGACUGAGACACGGCCCAGACUCCUACGGGAGGCAGCAGUGGGGAAUUUUGGACAAUGGGGGCAACCCUGAUCCAGCAAUGCCGCGUGAGUGAAGAAGGCCUUCGGGUUGUAAAGCUCUUUUGUCAGGGAAGAAACACCGGCUCUAACACAGUCCGGGAAUGACGGUACCUGAAGAAUAAGCACCGGCUAACUACGUGCCAGCAGCCGCAGUAA